UGGGGAAUCUUGCGCAAUGGGCGAAAGCCUGACGCAGCAACGCCGCGUGGGGGAUGAAUGCCUUCGGGUUGUAAACCCCUUUCAGCAGGGACGAAAUUGACGGUACCUGCAGAAGAAGCCCCGGCCAACUACGUGCCAGCAGCCGCGGUAAUACGUAGGGGGCAAGCGUUGUCCGGAUUCAUUGGGCGUAAAGGGCGCGUAGGCGGCUUAGAAAGUCGGAUGUGAAAGCUCCAGGCUCAACCUGGAGAUGCCACCCGAUACUUCUAUGGCUAGAGUCCGGUAGGGGACCACGGAAUUCCUGGUGUAGCGGUGAAAUGCGCAGAUAUCAGGAGGAACACCGGUGGCGAAGGCGGUGGUCUGGGCCGGAACUGACGCUGAGGCGCGAAAGCGUGGGUAGCGAACAG
Molecule: ribosomal RNA, 404 nt
Filed under: uncultured bacterium
Lineage: Bacteria
Description: bacterial SSU rRNA
Rfam family: Bacterial small subunit ribosomal RNA
Source: RNAcentral